RNAcentral lists this RNase MRP RNA (232 nucleotides) under Ananas comosus (pineapple). RNAcentral describes it as "RNase MRP". It matches the Rfam family "RNase MRP". From Rfam's summary of the family: RNase MRP is an enzymatically active ribonucleoprotein with two distinct roles in eukaryotes. In mitochondria it plays a direct role in the initiation of mitochondrial DNA replication. Lineage: Eukaryota; Viridiplantae; Streptophyta; Magnoliopsida; Poales; Bromeliaceae. The record is from Rfam by way of RNAcentral.
GAACCAUGGGACGAAGUGAUCGGGUUUAUGCGUACCCUGGAAAGUCCCCGGGCCUGAGAUUCCGCAGAGAUGCGGCCGCGGAAAACGCGGGUUCACUUCGAACUCCAUCCCUCGGCUGAGACACGCGUGGAGCCCUCGGGAUGCGAGUCGAAGCUCCUAUGGCCGUCCAUCACAGUUAUUCACUUGAUCCAACCGUUGGAUUAACAGAACGGGGCUUACGAUCCCUAUGGUU